RNAcentral lists this long non-coding RNA (434 nucleotides) under Ananas comosus (pineapple). RNAcentral describes it as "long non-coding RNA (ACOM_LNC032111)". Lineage: Eukaryota; Viridiplantae; Streptophyta; Magnoliopsida; Poales; Bromeliaceae. The record is from RNAcentral.
GGAGGAAUUCUACACUGUCACACUUGCACCACGUCAUCAAUAACAAGCCAAUCAUACUCCUUCUUUUCAAAUAAAAGUACAAUAAAAAUACUUUUUUACAAUCAUGAUGGGACAUAUAUUUUUAAAAGGAUUAAUUUGAUUGGUUUGUUACGCCACAUCACUAAUAUACCCGUUGCAUUCUAGAAUUGUCCUUUCCACGAUGCCCAGCAAUAACCAGUAGAAAUACUAAUUUAUCAAAAAAAAAAAAAAAAUUUGACAGUUGGUGUUGGACAUUUUAAAAAAUUUAAAACUUAAUCAUUUUAUAUUUUAAUAUACUUUAUUUUUAAAAAUAAACGAAACGAAUAAUGUAUAAUUUUUUUUAAAAAAAUCUCAACUUACGUCUUUUUCAAUAAUGAUAAUAAUAAUAAUAAUAAUAGAGCUAAAAUAUUAUUUAA